This 618-nucleotide ribosomal RNA is filed under the name Stumpffia megsoni. RNAcentral's name for it is "partial large subunit ribosomal RNA". The stretch from base 28 to 144 matches the Rfam family "Bacterial large subunit ribosomal RNA", at positions 714 to 852 of the family's 2925-position model. Lineage: Eukaryota; Metazoa; Chordata; Amphibia; Anura; Microhylidae. The record is from RNAcentral.
AAGCAAAAUGCACUUAAAGUUUGACUCCCCGAAACUAAGCGAGCUACCUUAAAACAGCUUAUAGAGCCAACUCAUCCCUGUUGCAAAAGAGUGAGAAGAUUUUAAAGUAGAGGUGACACACCUACCGAGCUUAGAGAUAGCUGGUUAUUCAAAAAACGGAUUUAAGUCCAACUUUAAGUUUCCCCAGUGCCAUUAAACGCCCCCUAAACUUAAGAGCUAUUCAAAUAAGGUACAGCCUAUUUGAACAAGGAGACAACCUACAAUACAGGGUAAUGUUUUCUAACGUGACCAAGUAGGCUUAAAAGCAGCCACCUUCUAAAAAGCGUCCAAGCUUCCCCCACCCCCACCCCAGUUUUUAUCUAUCCCCCCAUUUACUCACAACCCUCAACUUCUACUGAAUGACCCCAUACCGUAUGGGAAACAUUAUGCUAGAACUAGUAAUAAGAAGACGAACUUCUCCAAAAUGCAAGCGUAAGCCAAAAUAAACCCCUUAUCGGCACUUACCGCCCAACUAAAAGUAUCCUUUUCUCUAGAAAACCCUACUAACUCAGGCGCUAACCUUACACCAGAGCAUUCCUGGAAAGAUUAAAAGAAGGGGAAGGAACUCGGCAAAUCCCA